AGCACUAUUUUACAUAAAGUCAUUACCAAUUACGCAGCAAUAGACAGCGACACGCUACUAAUUGCUAAUAACGUGAGGUAUGCAAAAGGACGAGAUGUUGACAACUGGCUGAUUAUAGAUGAGAGGACGGCUGAUAUAAGACUCAAUAAAAUACCAGAUUAUGAGUCCAAGUUUCUGAUCAAUGGCACAUAUUACUCUCAGAUAAUCUGCAUCACUAAUGAUGCCCCGGCUAAAACUGCAACAGGAACCAUUGCCAUUCAAGUAAAAGACUUG
Sinocyclocheilus anshuiensis is the source of this 273-nucleotide long non-coding RNA. RefSeq lists it as uncharacterized. The record is from RefSeq and is a predicted model, not a curated record. Lineage: Eukaryota; Metazoa; Chordata; Actinopteri; Cypriniformes; Cyprinidae. The transcript is spliced from 3 exons.